CAGGGAGACAACAAAAUGUUUAUAUUAAUUUUGUCACCUUAGGUCGAUCGGUACCUCACAUUCUUAAUUGAAUUAAGAAUUUCAUUCCCUAAGUUUUUUCUAGGUCACACCCAUUACUUUUCCUGGGCCAUUAGCUCAGGUGGUUAGAGCGCACCCCUGAUAAGGGUGAGGUCCCUGGUUCAAGUCCAGGAUGGCCCAUAUCUCUAUGUUGGGGGUAUAGCUCAGUUGGUAGAGCGCCUGCUUUGCAAGCAGGAUGUCAGCGGUUCGAGUCCGCUUACCUCCACUGAUUACCACCUCUUCCAUAUUUAAGGAAACGUUUUGCGUUGUGAUCAAAUUCUGAACGAAUCUAGCUUCCUAAUAAACUCAUUAAGAUGCUGGAUUCAUUGAAUUAAUUUCAUUGUUUUCAGAGAACCUUGACAACUGCAUAGAUUAUUUUUAAAGACAAUAAGCAUCUUUAACGAUGCAGAUUUAUUAUUUGUGCUGAUGCAUUAAUAACAAUUCUAUUGAGCUGAUGCUUCAA
Molecule: transfer RNA, 520 nt
Filed under: uncultured Prochlorococcus sp.
Lineage: Bacteria; Bacillati; Cyanobacteriota; Cyanophyceae; Synechococcales; Prochlorococcaceae
Description: partial 16S-23S ribosomal RNA intergenic spacer
Rfam family: tRNA (bases 211-283)
Source: RNAcentral